RNAcentral lists this ribosomal RNA (429 nucleotides) under Gemmatimonadota bacterium. RNAcentral's name for it is "Gemmatimonadetes bacterium partial 16S ribosomal RNA". It matches the Rfam family "Bacterial small subunit ribosomal RNA", at positions 355 to 776 of the family's 1533-position model. Lineage: Bacteria; Pseudomonadati; Gemmatimonadota. The record is from RNAcentral.
UAGGGAAUCUUCGGCAAUGGACGAAAGUCUGACCGAGCAACGCCGCGUGAGUGAAGAAGGUUUUCGGAUCGUAAAACUCUUUUGUUAGAGAAGAACAAGGACGUUAGUAACUGAACGUCCCCUGACGGUAUCUAACCAGAAAGCCACGGCUAACUACGUGCCAGCAGCCGCGGUAAUACGUAGGUGGCAAGCGUUGUCCGGAUUUAUUGGGCGUAAAGCGAGCGCAGGCGGUUUCUUAAGUCUGAUGUGAAAGCCCCCGGCUCAACCGGGGAGGGUCAUUGGAAACUGGGAGACUUGAGUGCGGAAGAGGAGGGUGGAAUUCCAUGUGUAGCGGUGAAAUGCGUAGAUAUAUGGAAGAACACCAGUGGCGAAGGCGGCUCUCUGGUCUGAAACUGACGCUGAGGCUAGAAAGCGUGGGGAGCAAACAGG